RNAcentral lists this ribosomal RNA (253 nucleotides) under uncultured Acidobacteriota bacterium. RNAcentral's name for it is "uncultured Acidobacteria bacterium partial 16S ribosomal RNA". It matches the Rfam family "Bacterial small subunit ribosomal RNA", at positions 524 to 776 of the family's 1533-position model. Lineage: Bacteria; Pseudomonadati; Acidobacteriota. The record is from RNAcentral.
UACGGGGGGGGCAAGCGUUGUUCGGAAUUACUGGGCGUAAAGGGCUCGUAGGUGGCCAACUAAGUCAGACGUGAAAUCCCUCGGCUUAACCGAGGAACUGCGUCUGACACUGGAUGGCUUGAAUUCGGGAGAGGGAUGCGGAAUUCCAGGUGUAGCGGUGAAAUGCGUAGAUAUCUGGAGGAACACCGGUGGCGAAGGCGGCAUCCUGGACCGACAUUGACGCUGAGGAGCGAAAGCCAGGGGAGCAAACGGG